UGGGUCCGUGGAUGUGUGAACAGAGCAGAUGGAACGAAGAAAAUUGGAUUGUACUCCAUUCCAAAGGUCAGACAACAUGAAGGGGAUUUCACUAAAUCGCUCACAGAGGAACGUCAUCGUCUCUGGUUGGCAAAUAUUAAGAGGAAAGAUGAACCCUCGAAACAUGUCAGGGUCUGCUCGGACCACUUCAUUACAGGUCGCCCUGCUAACAUGUACGACCGGAAAAAUCCUGACCGCGCGCCAACAUUGAAACUCGAAAAGAUGACUCCUACCGAAUCUCUGAAAAAGCAUGCUGAGCUUGAGAGAAAGCAAAACAGUUUUGUGUCUAAACAGAUUUCAGAGAACAGCAAAAAGGCAGGAAACAAAGAUGAGGAACGAUGCAGCCAGUGCUCUUCUUCACCUCCAGGACAGCUGCCAGCACACCCCCGUGGACAUUGUACAACCAGCGUCUCCUGAAGUUCUAGCCCAGGGGUGGGCAAACUAUUCCACAUAGGACCGCAGUGGGUGCGGGUUUUUGCUGCAACCCAUUAAGAGGACACAUUUUCACCAAUCUGCUGUUUUACAAAUGCAAUCAUUUGAUUGCAGUCAGGUGCUUCUCAUUUCUGCUGAAACCUCAUUGGUUAUACUAUCUGUGCUGGGUCAGUUGGAACAAAGACCAGGACCCACUGCGGCCCUCGAGGACCGGUUUGCCCACCCCUGGUCUAGCCGAUACUGAUGGCGCUGAAGCAUCCACCAGUUCCAUCGUCCAAGUGACUCAAGUCCAAGUAGACAGUGAAGUCCAGAGACUCUUAUCAGAGAAAAUGACAUUACGGGCAGAGCUGGAAUCUUUGCUGUUGAUAAUGCUGAUGAAAAUGCAAUGAAUUUACAUUAAAUAUUAAUUACAGAAUAUACUUUUUGCACAUUACAGUUUUCUGCAAAUGAAAUUACAAAUGCAAAUAACUGAUGAAAUGAGUUCAUUUACCUGCACACUAAUUAUCUGAUUAUUAACAGACCUCUUCAGUUAUUCAAAUCAAAUCCUAAUCAAUAACAUACAGCCUCCCCCAACUCCCUGGUUGGGAGGUAUUAACAAAUGUAAACAAAAAAUGUAAACAAUAACAUCAGA
Molecule: long non-coding RNA, 1102 nt
Organism: Corythoichthys intestinalis (scribbled pipefish)
Lineage: Eukaryota; Metazoa; Chordata; Actinopteri; Syngnathiformes; Syngnathidae
Exons: 3
Source: RefSeq, a predicted model, not a curated record